GGUGCAAGCGAAGUAGUCGCAGGGUUGGUAAAUCCGCCCUGCAUGAGACGAAGGCGUGAUGCGGAGCGAAAUGAAGUAGUGAAGCUGCGGCCCCUUCCUGUCGAGAACAGCCGCUAUCGUGUAGCAAGGGCCCGUACCGUAAACCGACACAGGUGGAUGAGGAGAGGAUCCUAAGGCCGGCGGGAGAAGUGUUGUUAAGGAACUCGGCAAAAUGACUCCGUAACUUCGGGAGAAGGAGUGCUGCGCAAGCAGCCGCAGAGAAAUGGCCCAAGCAACUGUUUAGCAAAAACACAGGUCUAUGCGAAACCGAAAGGUGAGGUAUAUGGGCUGACGCCUGCCCGGUGCUGGAAGGUUAAGGGGAGAGCUUAGCGUAAGCGAAGGUUUGAACUUAAGCCCCAGUAAACGGCGGCCGUAACGAUAACGGUCCUAAGGUAGCGAAAUUCCUUGUCGGGUAAGUUCCGACCCGCACGAAAGGCGUAAUGAUUUGGGCACUGUCUCAACAACACACCCGGUGAAAUUGAAAUACCAGUGAAGAUGCUGGUUACCCGCGCCAGGACGGAGAGACCCCAUGGAGCUUUACUCCAGCCUGAUACUGGGAUUCGGUAUUGCAUGUACAGGAUAGGUGGGAGGCUAAGAACUUAUGGCGCCAGCCGUGAGGGAGCCGAUGUUGGGAUACCACCCCUGCAGUACUGGGUUUCUAACCUGCGCCCGUGACCCGGGCGGGGGACAAUGUCAGGCGGGGAGUUUGACUGGGGCGGUCGCCUCCGAAAGGGUAUCGGAGGCGCUCAAAGGUCUCCUCAGGAUGGUUGGAAACCAUCCAGAGAGUGCAAAGGCAGAAGGAGGCUUGACUGCGACACCGACGGGUGGAGCAGGUACGAAAGUAGGACUUAGUGAUCCGGUGGCAUAAAGUGGGACUGCCAUCGCUCAACGGAUAAAAGCUACCCUGGGAUAACAGGCUUAUCACUCCCAGGAGUUCACAUCGACGGAGUGGUUUGGCACCUCGAUGUCGGCUCAUCGCAUCCUGGAGCUGGAGCAGGUUCCAAGGGUUGGGCUGUUCGCCCAUUAAAGCGGUACGCGAGCUGGGUUCAGAACGUCGUGAGACAGUUCGGUCCCUAUCCGGCGCGGGCGCAGGAUAUCUGAGAGGAGCUGUCCUUAGUACGAGAGGACCGGGAUGGACCGUCCGCUGGUGGACCGGUUGUCAUGCCAAUGGCACGGCCGGGUAGCCAAGACGGGAAGGGAUAAACGCUGAAGGCAUCUAAGCGUGAAGCCCCCCUCAAGAUGAGAUAUCCAUACUCGAAAGAGUGAGAGACCCCUUAGAGACGAUGAGGUAGAUAGGGCAGAGAUGGAAGCAUAGCGAUGUGUGGAGUUGACUGUUACUAAUCGGUCGAUAGCUUGUC
This 1397-nucleotide ribosomal RNA is filed under the name metagenome. RNAcentral's name for it is "bacterial LSU rRNA". It matches the Rfam family "Bacterial large subunit ribosomal RNA", at positions 1509 to 2925 of the family's 2925-position model. The record is from RNAcentral.